This is a long non-coding RNA of Neopelma chrysocephalum (saffron-crested tyrant-manakin), 1641 nucleotides long. RefSeq lists it as uncharacterized. The transcript is spliced from 3 exons. NCBI's taxonomy places the organism in Eukaryota, Metazoa, Chordata, Aves, Passeriformes, Pipridae. The record is from RefSeq and is a predicted model, not a curated record.
GAGGUGGUACUAGAAAGAUGAUGAUUGUAUUUGCAAAUGCAAAUUUGAAACAUAUGAAAACCUAUGGAAAAAAAUAGAGGAGAUUUGAGCAGUAAAAUCAAAACUUUUAUUAGUUCUUCCAAGACAUGAAUAGAGAAUGUGAUCUUCAUAAGGACAGCUCUAUUACUUUUUCUAUUAGAGCGAAUUUUCAGUCCUGCUUCCCCACUUUUUUUUUCUUUUAGCUGAAGUUUUCAUCUGGCAAUAUUGCAACCUUUUCAACCAAACUACUGUUACCUUGGUCAUGUAUAGCUCCAGAAACAUCAUCAAAACUUUCUGUGGCCCAUAAGCCUGUCUCUUAAUGGGGGAGUUGCCACUCAGAAAGAGUGGUCUUAUAUUCCUGGAGUAAAUGCUCAUACAGUCAAAUGGGCUUUGGGAACCAAAGAAAAUAAUGUGAGGUUCACAACGUCUCCAACUUAAUGUAUUUCCCCCCUCCUCCUCGUUUACCCAGUUUUCCAAGAAAUCAGCCAGGCAAAGCUGUUCAAAUCUGAUGCUGGUAAAACUGUGAAAGUUUAGCAUAAAAAAAGGAGAAGCAUUUCUAUAUGCCACAGUGAAUACCAAAACAUAUUUGAUAACACUGGUUUAAUGUGUGACAAAGCAGUUUUUAGUAUAACAUUUUAUAUUAUCUCUUUGCAUAAUACCUAGCAGAUCUUUGGCAGUGUGAUCCAUAAAGACAAAAUAAUACAUAAAUGAUGCAGUACAAAGAAAGAUAAAUUGAGGGCAUAGAUUUCCUUUUGAGCUCCGAGCUGUACCAUGAGGGGAAGCACAUUCAAAUAACUUCUGUCCAUCCACAAAAGUCAGAAUACCUCAUCCUUGCAGUUUUAAAACUAAAUUCUUGUCACUCUAAGUGAUGCUUUGGCUGGACCACAAUCAACAGAAUUUCAAGAUCUCUGGGAUGAACAAGUUCUUAUUAACCUAUCCAUUCUUGGGUUAAAGGCACUGAGAAAUCUCUAUGUUCUCUUGUAGGGAGGUGAUAAUGACUGACCAUGUACCACCAGCUCUUCAAGUUUCUCCUUCCAACACUCUCUGCUCACAGUCCCACAGUGUUUUCAGUGUUCAGGUGCUGUAACUUGAGAUAAUAUCCAGAGUGCUUGAAUUGAAACUUCUAUGAAGAAUACACACUCAUUUGUCCCCGAACAAGAAAAAAUGUGAACAUAUACGUUGUGUUUGUACCUCUGAUAUGAUAUGGGAAUCUUGAUGAUGGAGUAUCCAAGCACUGCAUGUGGUUCUUGAACUUCUGUGAGCAAGCAGAGGUGGAUAAUUCAUCCUGGCAGUUUUAAAGUGCAAUAAACACCAGGAACCUGAAAAGAGGUAAAGUUUUUCAAAUUAUUUACCGUUAAUUAUUUUUAGUGAAGAGUACACUUAGCAUUUUAAAGAUGCAAUGAAAAUCUUAUGCCGACUGAGAAAAGCAUCUACAUGAAAAACAAUUUCUUAUUUUCUCCCAGGAUGGAUUCUUAUUUUUUAAACUUUAUCCGGUGUUGUUCCUGACCUUCAUAUUUUUGCAAGCCAACAAUUACUAUUCAUGGCAUUUUCCAUCAGAUUUGUUCGCUGUUAUGUAUUGCUUCUAAAAUUACAGGUCUUGUCCAGUUUUAAUUUUUUUUCCUU